AUGCCGGUAAGCGUACCACUAGUCGAAUUCCCGGAAUUAGGGAUUUUUAUAGGGCGAUGCGUGGAAUAAAAUUGACGCCUAAGGUUUGGCGCUGUUGGGUUCUUCCAGAUGAGGAGAUUGAUGGAGGUGGAGCCGCCGGGACCGCUGAGAUAUCUGAUCGGGGCGGCGAUCAUGAUGGUCGGAGUGGUUCUCCCGCUCGGGUACAUGCUGUUCCGCCACAAGCGCGUUCCCUCCGCCUCUUCCUCCUCCUCCUCCUCCUCCUCCUUCUCCAAGCAGACGAAUAAAGGACUGAUCUAGAGAUAAUAAAAGGGCUCGAUUCUUCUGCCGAUUUAUCAUAUAUCUUUUCAAUUGAAGGAUCAGGAAUGAGCGAGAGCGAGUGGGUAUAGUGUUGAUGAAGCCACUUUGUUUCAUUAUUGCUGGAUGAUGUUUUCUUGUGUUCGGUAGAUAGUUUGAUGUUAGUUUCUGUGCGGUGUUUUAUGGGAGUUGCAUUGGCUAGCACAAAACGUCUGCUUCUGUAUCUUAGGUAAUGAAUGUUGGUUUACUUCGAUUACUUUUGACGUGAAAAUGCUUGCCUAGCCAUUUCCUUUUGAUGUGAGCAUUGUGAAAGAAUGGCAGCCUUGCAGUCUUCUUAUCAUUAACUUUAUAAGCUUUAGAAA
Phoenix dactylifera (date palm) is the source of this 656-nucleotide non-coding RNA. NCBI's taxonomy places the organism in Eukaryota, Viridiplantae, Streptophyta, Magnoliopsida, Arecales, Arecaceae. The record is from RefSeq and is a predicted model, not a curated record.